Molecule: ribosomal RNA, 468 nt
Filed under: uncultured bacterium
Lineage: Bacteria
Description: partial 16S ribosomal RNA
Rfam family: Bacterial small subunit ribosomal RNA
Source: RNAcentral
GACGAACGCUGGCGGCGUGCUUAACACAUGCAAGUCGAACGGAAAGGCCCUGCUUUUGUGGGGUGCUCGAGUGGCGAACGGGUGAGUAACACGUGAGUAACCUGCCCUUGACUUUGGGAUAACUUCAGGAAACUGGGGCUAAUACCGGAUAGGAGCUCCUGCUGCAUGGUGGGGGUUGGAAAGUUUCGGCGGUUGGGGAUGGACUCGCGGCUUAUCAGCUUGUUGGUGGGGUAGUGGCUUACCAAGGCUUUGACGGGUAGCCGGCCUGGGAGGGUGACCGGCCACAUGGGGACUGAGAUACGGCCCAGACUCCAACGGGAGGCAGCAGUGGGGAAUAUUGCACAAUGGGCGGAAGCCUGAUGCAGCAACGCCGCGUGCGGGAUGACGGCUUUCGGGUUGUAAACCGCUUUCGCCUGUGACGAAGCGGGAGUGACGGUAAUGGGUAAAGAAGCACCGGCUAACUACGUG